AGGGUGGCUCCAGAUGAAGGCAGGACGAGAAGAAAGUUUAUCAAUUAGAUUGUCGGUGUGAAGUUAGUACCGGGACCCGGAGCAGGAUGUCGGUGCCGGUGAAGGUUCACCUGUUGGGGAAAGACGGCUCAGUGAUGGAGGUCCGGAGGUUUGAUCUCUCUCCGGCAUAUUACCACCGCAACUUGGAAUCUGUUAACACCAUGAUCACAAAGCUGUUUAAUCUGAAAGGAAUUUUAAAGCUCUUCUACAAAGAUGAAGAUGGAGACAUGGUGGCGUUUUCCUCUGAUGAUGAACUGGCCACAGCUCUGAAAUACAUAAAGGACAACACCUUCCGCGUCUUCAUCAAAAGUUCCUGAACAACGCAGGACUUUCUGAUGACCUUUGACCUCUGAGAACAUCUGCUGGAAACCUGAACACAAAGCCGCCCUGUGUUACACACACACACACACACACACACACACACACAGACAUACACACACACACACACACACACACACUAACUCACUCACACACUCACACACACACACACACACACACACACACACACACACACAUACACACAUACACACACACACACACAUACACACACUUCACUGGUUUCCAUGGAAACAACAGAUUAGUGUUCUUCAGGCCUCAAUCUUGUUUUAAACUUUUAUUUUGAAAAAUAACAAUAAAGCUGCACAGCUUUUAUUUUUUCAGUAUGUUUUAUUGUUCAUUGUUGGGGGGGGUGUAUGUUCUGUGUUACACUGUUAUUAUAAUGCUAACAGACUGAUGCUAAUGCUAACAGACUGAUGCUACUGCUAACAGACUGAUGCUAAUGCUAACAGACUUAUGCUAAUGCUAACAGACUGAUGCUAACAGACUGAUGCUACUGCUAACAGACUGAUGCUAAUGCUAACAGACUGAGGUUAAUGCUUACAGACUGAUGCUACUGCCAACAGACUGAUGCUACUGCUAACAGACUGAUGCUAAUGCUAACAGACUUAUGCUAAUGCUAACAGACUGAUGCUAACAGACUGAUGCUACUGUUAACAGACUGAUGCUAAUGCUAACAGACUUAUGCUAAUGCUAACAGACUGAUGCUAACAGACUGAUGCUACUGUUAACAGACUGAUGCUAAUGCUAACAGACUGAGGUUAAUGCUUACAGACUGAUGCUACUGCCAACAGACUGAUGCUACUGCUAACAGACUGAUGCUACUGCUAACAGACUGAUGCUAAUGCUAACAGACUUAUGCUAAUGCUAACAGACUGAUGCUAACAGACUGAUGCUACUGCUAACAGACUGAUGCUAAUGCUAACAGACUGAGGUUAAUGCUUACAGACUGAUGCUACUGCCAACAGACUGAUGCUAAUGCUAACAGACUGAUGCUACUGCUAACAGACUGAUGCUAACAGACUGAUGCUACUGCUAACAGACUGAUGCUAAUGCUAACAGACUUAUGCUAAUGCUAACAGACUGAUGCUAACAGACUGAUGCUACUGUUAACAGACUGAUGCUAAUGCUAACAGACUGAUGCUACUGCUAACAGACUGAUGCUAAUGCUAACAGACUGAUGCUAAUGCUAACAGACUUAUGCUAAUGCUAACAGACUGAUGCUACUGCUAACAGACUGAUGCUAAUGCUAACAGACUGAUGCUAAUGCUAACAGACAUUCUGGACCAUGGAGCCAAACUUGCAGAUGUGAUGUCAUAAAGCCGCUCUUAACGAACUCGUGUCACAGUGAACACUGAUGAAGAGGUCGUAUUAACGAACUCCUGUCACAGUGAACACUGAUGAAGAGGUCGUAUUAACGAACUCGUGUCACAGUGAACACUGAUGAAGAGGUCGUAUUAACGAACUCGUGUCACAGUGAACACUGAUGAAGAGGUCGUAUUAACGAACUCGUCUCACAGUGAACACUGAUGAAGAGUUCGUACCCACAGCACUGUACACUGUUGCUACAGUCUCAUUAUGAGUUAAUGAGCCUCAUUAGUUACUUUGUGACAACAGUGCCGAGUCUUGAGCAGAAAGCAGAGCAGUAACCACGGUAACGGUAACGGUAAUCAGAACGGAGUAUUCAGAUAUCAAACUGUGAGAUAUGAUUGUGUAAUAAUGAACGUGUGAAUAAUCACCAUCAACGUUACCAAACAAACAGAACGCAACGACCCGCGGUUACUCGUUCUCCGGGCGGCUGUGGCUCAGAGGCAGAGCGGGUCGUUCCUUAAUCGGAAGGUUGUGGGUUCGAUCCCCGGCUCCUGGUGCCACAGGACGAAGUAUCCUUGAGCAAGAUACUGAACCCCAAAUUGCUCCCGAUGUGAGUGAGUGUGUAUGAAUGAGUUAGUUUCUGUUCGAUGGACUUUACCAGUGAAUGUGUCUGUAGUGUAAAAGCACUUUGAGUGGUCGAACACUAGAGAGGAAACUAUACAAGUACAGCUCCAUUUACCAUUUCCAACACGGAUGUGACGUCGCUCUCGAGCUGAAAUGAAGGCGGCAUCAGUUCGUCAUGUCUCGGCGGCAGGGGGUCAGAGGUCGUGGAGCUGGUGAGGUCACAACAGCAGCUGAGCUGUGACCUUUGACCUCCAUCAGAAUCAACAUGUCUGCUGCUUGUUCAGCUUUUCCUCCUUUCAGAGGUUUUAUGGUGGAAAAGGUCUCAGAGGGUUAGAGGAAGAAUCCAGGUCACACACAGCUGUUAGCGGUUAGCUGCUAGCUGUAAUAUAUGUAUAAGUUCAGGUAGUUCAAGCAGUUUGUUGUUGCAGAGCUUCGGUACCGGCCGAGGUCUCGGAGCAGAUUUCUGACAAACUGUAUCUUGUUGCUCGUCAGGGUGAUGAAUUAAUGUUCUAGCAGACUGUGUUUGGGUCCCAUCAGCAGCAGAGGGUCAGCACUCAGAUGUCGGAGCUUCCUGGGACUACCUGAAAGCACCACAGCCUGAAUCACCCAAACUGAGACACUGAAGGCGGAGAGUUUGAGAUCCCCCGAAAAACCCAGAAUUAUUGAUCCAGAACUGAUGAAGGUGGUAUUUCAGUUACGUAAUCAGGAAACAAAAAAGGUAGAUGUAAUCCAUUACAGUUACAGAAAAAACACAUAAUCAGAUUACAGUUAAAUUUAGCAGAUUACAAAUUUAAAAUUCACAAAUCCUAAAUAAACAAAGUAAUCAAGUUACUUUAAUAUGGUGAUACUUGGUCACUGACUACAUUUCCUAACAGGUAAUUAGUAACUGUAAUCUGAUUACAUCACUAUAUAUACAGUAUUAUAUAUUAUAUACAGACUGAACAUAAAGACCAGUCUGCUGCUCUGUAACACCACAGUGUGAGACAGGUCACACAGACAGACAGACAGGUCACACAGACAGACAGUGGUGAUGAAGAGGAGGGAGAACUUCAGUAUAAACAGAAUGUGAGCCGUGAUGAGUUCACUGACGUCUGUGUUUGAAGAUGUUGAACAUGGCUUGAAUCACUUUAUUUAUUUAUUUAAGAGGAUCUCCAUUAGCUGAAUGCCAGAGGCAGCAGGUCGUCCUCCUGCAGCCUGAAUCAUUCUUCACAUAUUCAUCAGACACACAACAUUCACACCGUUCACACCGUUCACAUGGUUCACAAUGUUCACAUCGUUCUCACGUGCAGCUCUGGUUGUAACAUUAAAAACUUUAUCCUUUCAUUGGAGAGACCUCAGCAACUGAUUUUUAUGAAUUUAAUUCAGUUCAAUUAAAUUUUAUUUUACAGAGACCCAACAGUUCCACCAUGAGCAAGACCUUGGAGACAGGGGCAAGGAAAAACUGCCUGUUAAAAGGCAGAAACCUAGGACAGAUCCUUCGGCUCUAGGUGGGUGGUCGUCUGUCUCGACCAGUUGGGGUGAGAGAGAGAGAGAGAGAGAGAGAGACAGAGAGAGAGAAAUUUUCCAAUUUGUACUAGAACCAAUAAUUCUAUAUGCCAGCGAAAUUUGGGGACCAAAACUAAAUAAUGAAUUUGACAAAUGGGACAAAACAAUCAUAGAAUCUUUCCACAGCGAGUUCUGUAAGAGCAUCCUGCAGGUGUAGAGAAAAACACCAAAUAAUCUGUGCAGAGCAGAGCUCGGCCAAUACCCCCUCCUACUAAAAAUACAGAAAAGAUCAAUUAAAAUUUACAAUCACUUAAAAUCAGUUAACCCCCAGACAUACCAUCACAAAGCCCUAACAUACCAGGAGCUGAAACCAGAGAAGAGUCCCCUCAGCCAGCUGGUCCUGAGGCUCUCUGCAGUAACAUGUCCCCAACAGCCUCAGGACAGCAACACCAACUCAAUCAGACCAAACCAAAUUAUCAACAAGCAAAAAGAAAAAUAUAUUGAAUACUGGAAAGAAACGACCAAAACACAAAGUAAAUUACAAUGUUAUCUGACCUUAAAAAGAGAAUUCACUCUGGCAAAUUACCUGAGCACAAUAAAAUGUCCUGAACUAAGAAAAAUGUUGACAGUGUACAGACUGAGUGAACACAGCCUGGCCAUAGAAAAGGGUCGCCACAGACAGAACUGGCUACCAGAAGAGGAGAGACUCUGCUCCCAGUGUGACAGAGGACAGGUAGAGACAGAGCUGCACUUUCUAACCUCAUGCCCUAAAUUCAAAACUUUAAGAGAAAAACAAUUUGCAAAUAUUUCCCAAAUAUACCCCGAUUUAGAAUUAUUAUCAGACACACAGAAACUCCCCUAUUUACUGGGAGAAAUGCCAAAAAGUCAAAUUAUUGCAGCAAAAUAUGUCUCCUCAUGCCACGAACUGAGGACAACCAGUGGAAACUCUGUAAAUGUAUAAAAUAAUUGAUUGUUUAGUUGUUGUUUUUUUUUGUUGUUUUUUAAUAUAUAUAUAUAUAUAUAUAUAUAUAUAUAUAUAUAUACACACACGUUUACAGUUUUAUCUAUCUAUUUUAUUUUAAUAUAUUUUAAUAUUAUAUAUAUUAUAUAUUAUAUUUGAUCAUUUGUUAUUACUGUUAUAUUGACAACAGACUACUUGUUUUAACUGUAGUUACUUUACUACUGUUUUAAUGACAUUUUUAGUUGACACAAACUGAUUGAUUGAUUGAUUGAUUGUAAUUAAUUACUUAUUGACUGAGAUUGAUUGAUUGUGACUGUGAUUGUGAUUGAGUCAAUCAUAGUUAGAGUAUUACCAACAGUAUAGAUUAUAAUUAAUUUAUUGUAAAUAUUGUUUUCCUUUAUUAUUAUUAUUAUUAUUAUUACUAUAGACCGGUGGCUCUGACGUCCCACAUUAUAAAGACCCUGGAGAGGCUCGUCCUGGAGCAGCUAAGGCCUAUGGUCAGGCCCUUCACCGAUCAACUGCAGUUCGCCUACCAGCCCCGCCUGGGAGCUGAGGACAGCAUCAUCUACCUGCUGAACAGAGUCUACACUCAUCUGGAUAAGCCGGCGAGCACUGUGAGAGUCAUGUUCUUUGAUUUCUCCAAUGCUUUCAAUACCAUCCGUCCGGCUCUACUGGGUGAGAAGAUGGCUGUGAUGCAGGUGGAGGCCCCCAUCGUGUCCUGGAUUGUUGAUUACCUGACGGGCAGACCACAGUACGUAUGCCUACAGACCUGUGUGUCUGACAGGGUGGUCAGCAACACUGGGGCCCCACAGGGGACUGUCCUCUCUCCCUUUCUCUUCACCCUCUUCACCUCAGACUUCAACUAUUGCACCGAGUCCUGCCACCUUCAGAAGUUUUCUGAUGACUCAGCAAUAGUUGGCUGCAUAGAUAAUGGUGAUGACAGUGAAUACAGGACUGUGGUGGGCAACUUUGUCACUUGGACUGAGCUGAACCAUCUACAGGGGUGUACUUUAAUAAUAAGCUGGACUGGACUAGAAACGCUGAGGCGGUCUACAAAAAGGGCCAAAGCCGACUCUUUUUCCUAAGGAGGCUGAGGUCCUUUAACAUCUGCCGGAGGAUGCUGAGGAUGUUCUAUGAGUCUGUUGUGGCUAGUACGAUCUUCUUCGCUGUCCCAUGCUGGGGCAGUGGGCUGAGGGUCACUGAUAACAACAGACUAAACAAACUGAUCAGGAGGGCCGGUGAUGUCGUAGGGGAGGAGCUGGACACCCUGACGACCGUGGCAGAGAGGAGGAUGCUGUCCAGGCUUCAGUCCAUCUUGGACAAUGUCUCUCACCCUCUCUAGGACACACUGGCCCAGCAGAGGAGCACCUUCAGCAGAAGACUCCUCUCACCCAGAUGCACUACAGAGCGCCACAGGAAAUCAUUCCUGCCUGUGGUCAUCAAUCUCUACAACGCCUCCCUCAGAGAGUCAGACACCCCCCCUCUGUAAUUCUGAACUCAAAACGUAGACAAUUAUUCUUUUGCACUUUUGCAUAUUAAUACUGUACAUUUGAUCUUGUAUAUAUAUAUAUAGUUAUAUAUAUAUAUUUAUAUUUUUUGUGCUGAAUGUUGUUUAUAUAUAUGUUGUUUGUAUAAUAUUUUGUUUGUAUAUCUGGAGUGUUGUUUAACGAAAAUAAUUUCCCCCUGGGAUUAUUAAAGUAUUUCUGAUUCUGAUUAUUAUUAUUAUUAUUAUUAUUAUUAUUAUUAUUAUUAUUUUUAAUUCCAAACGCUUGCUUUGGCAAUAUGUACAGUGUUACGUCAUGCCAAUAAAGCCAUUUGAAUUGAA
Dicentrarchus labrax (European seabass) is the source of this 6581-nucleotide RNA transcript. It is a transcript of the gene named sequestosome-1-like, with no coding region annotated. The record is from RefSeq and is a predicted model, not a curated record. The transcript is spliced from 4 exons. NCBI's taxonomy places the organism in Eukaryota, Metazoa, Chordata, Actinopteri, Moronidae.